GAUGAACGCUGGCGGCGUGCCUAACACAUGCAAGUCGAGCGAGAUAAAUGUGAGUGGAGACUUCGGUCAAAGCAAUCAUUUUGAAAGCGGCGGACGGGUGAGUAACGCGUGAGCAAUCUGCCCCAUACAAAGGGAUACCCACUGGAAACGGUGAUUAAUACCUUAUAAGACCACGAAGUCGCCUGGCUUAGUGGCCAAAGAUUUAUCGGUAUGGGAUGAGCUCGCGUCUGAUUAGCUAGUUGGUGAGGUAAUGGCUCACCAAGGCGACGAUCAGAAGCCGACGUGGGAGGGGGAACGGCGACACUGGAACUGGGACACGGUCCAGACUCCUACGGGAGGCAACAGUGGGGAAUAUUGCACAAUGGGCGCAAGCCUGAUGCAGCAACGCCGCGCGAAUGAUGAAGGCCUUCGGGUCGUAAAGUUCUGUCCUAAGGGAAGAAUACAGUGACGGUACCUUAGGAGGAAGCCCCGGCUAACUACGUGCCAGCCGCCGCAGUAA
RNAcentral lists this ribosomal RNA (499 nucleotides) under uncultured bacterium. RNAcentral's name for it is "partial 16S ribosomal RNA". It matches the Rfam family "Bacterial small subunit ribosomal RNA", at positions 28 to 523 of the family's 1533-position model. The record is from RNAcentral.